RNAcentral lists this transfer RNA (85 nucleotides) under Amaricoccus solimangrovi. RNAcentral's name for it is "Amaricoccus sp. HB172011 tRNA-Leu". It matches the Rfam family "tRNA". Rfam says of the family: Transfer RNA (tRNA) molecules are approximately 80 nucleotides in length. Their secondary structure includes four short double-helical elements and three loops (D, anti-codon, and T loops). Lineage: Bacteria; Pseudomonadati; Pseudomonadota; Alphaproteobacteria; Rhodobacterales; Paracoccaceae. The record is from RNAcentral.
GCGGGCGUGGCGGAAUUGGUAGACGCAGCUGGUUUAGGUCCAGCCGGUGAGAGCCUUGGGGGUUCGAGUCCCUUCGCCCGCACCA